GAGCUGAGGAGUUUAUGGUGAAUGUUAUCAAAUGGAUCAGGUUUGAGUUUUAUUUUGAAGGUGGCUUUGGACUGGAAAUCAUCACUUGUAUGUGGCAGCAGAGCAGAUAUUUGGUCACAUGAUCUCUCACGAGCAGCUUCCUGCAACACAGGUUAGCUUAGCUCUUAGCAUCACUGAGGUU
Molecule: long non-coding RNA, 181 nt
Organism: Thalassophryne amazonica
Lineage: Eukaryota; Metazoa; Chordata; Actinopteri; Batrachoidiformes; Batrachoididae
Exons: 2
Source: RefSeq, a predicted model, not a curated record